ACGAUAAACGAUAUUUACGGCAAAUCCUUACCAUUAUUACAGAUGAAGCUGUUAGUACUUCUGUUGAUAUUCACUUGUGCUGCCUGGCAACAGUCUGACGCUAUCAGUUUGGGUCGAUGAAUUCCACGUCCAGGUCCCAUUGGUAUACUACCACGCCCAGGUCCCAUUGGUAUACUACCACGCCCAGGUCCCAUUGGUAUACUACCACGUCCAGGUCCCAUUGGUAUACUACCACGUCCAGGUCCCAUUGGAAUACUACCACGCCCAGGUCCCAUUGGUAUACUACCACGCCCAGGUCCCAUUGGUAUACUACCACGUCCAGGUCCCAUUGGUAUACUACCACGUCCAGGUCCCAUUGGUAUACUACCACGCCCAGGUCCCAUUGGAAUAAUCGUAUCCAAAAGAGCAGAGAGAGAUCUUAGGACAGAGCUUGACACAGAUCAGGACGGAUAUCUGGACGAGACAGAGUUAGAACACCACCUCAGUGAGCGAGACAUUAUCGACUUCAUAGCGGCUUUAGAUGAAAACGGUGAUGACCUCCUCUCUGUUGAUGAAUUUAAUGACAAGCAGUGAUAAGAUAAUCAGACUGUGCCCUUUGAAAAACAGAAUGAAGAAGAAAUUCCAAAAACAAUCAGUUGUGUAGAAUAAAACAAAUUUGAGUAAAA
Molecule: long non-coding RNA, 665 nt
Organism: Gigantopelta aegis
Lineage: Eukaryota; Metazoa; Mollusca; Gastropoda; Neomphalida; Peltospiridae
Exons: 4
Source: RefSeq, a predicted model, not a curated record